CCUACGGGAGGCAGCAGUGGGGAAUUUUGGACAAUGGGCGCAAGCCUGAUCCAGCAAUGCCGCGUGAGUGAAGAAGGCCUUCGGGUUGUAAAGCUCUUUUGUCAGGGAAGAAACGGUGGGGGCUAAUAUCUCCUGCUAAUGACGGUACCUGAAGAAUAAGCACCGGCUAACUACGUGCCAGCAGCCGCGGUAAUACGUAGGGUGCAAGCGUUAAUCGGAAUUACUGGGCGUAAAGCGUGCGCAGGCGGUUUUGUAAGUUUGUCGUGAAAUCCCCGGGCUCAACCUGGGAAUGGCGAUGAAGACUGCAAGGCUAGAAUCUGGCAGAGGGGGGUAGAAUUCCACGUGUAGCAGUGAAAUGCGUAGAGAUGUGGAGGAACACCGAUGGCGAAGGCAGCCCCCUGGGUCAAGAUUGACGCUCAUGCACGAAAGCGUGGGGAGCAAACAGGAUUAGAUACCCUGGUAGUCCACGCCCUAAACGAUGUCUACUAGUUGUCGGGUUUUAAUUAACUUGGUAACGCAGCUAACGCGUGAAGUAGACCGCCUGGGGAGUACGGUCGCAAAGGAUUAAAACUUCAAAAGUAGUUAAGUUCGGCGNGNGAGNGCGACGACGACGACGACGGAGGAGGAG
This 628-nucleotide ribosomal RNA is filed under the name uncultured bacterium. RNAcentral describes it as "bacterial SSU rRNA". It matches the Rfam family "Bacterial small subunit ribosomal RNA", at positions 338 to 955 of the family's 1533-position model. The record is from RNAcentral.